AUGAUGUUGGAAAAUAUGAAAAUGGAGUGUGUUUAUAAUAUAAUAUAUGAAGGAUGAGUGGCAUUGGUAAGAUGAAUGAAGAAAUUAGUAAUGGAGCGUGGAAGUUGAUUGCGUUGAGUUGCAGUUGCAGUUGCAGUUGCAGUUGCAGGUGUAUUGUUAACUCUGAAUUUCACUGAGUGAUUGAUCAUUGAUUGGAAUUUGGGGAUAAACAUUAGAUGGGUUGCUUUUCCUGUUUCGAUUCGAGUUCAAGUUCGAGGGAGAAUCACAACCUCCGUUCUCACCACCACCCACAACCCAAUUCCAAUUCCAAUCCCAAUCCCAAUAUCAAUCUGUCUCUCCCUUCUCAGAUUUCCAAGUUGCCAUCUGGAGCAGACAAGUUACGGUCCAGAAGUAAUGGAGGUUCCAAAAGGGAAUUGCCUCCUUCCAACACCAAGGAAGGACACGGACCCG
Molecule: non-coding RNA, 450 nt
Organism: Vigna umbellata (rice bean)
Lineage: Eukaryota; Viridiplantae; Streptophyta; Magnoliopsida; Fabales; Fabaceae
Source: RefSeq, a predicted model, not a curated record